CAUUUGUUGUCUCACACUUUAUGUCAUUCUAUAUAUCAUAGAUUUGUGAUUGAUCAAAAAAAAUAUAUUUAAAUUAAAAUUUAAUUAUCAAGUAUUUUUCUAACUACUUACAAGCUCAUGACAUAUGAAGUGACACAAAGUGUGAGACAAGAGGUUGCUCUUGCUCCCGGAAUAGUGUGUGAGGGAAACACAAAAACCAACACAAAUAGAUUCAAUUAAUUAAUAUAAAGUCCAACAAUGAAGAUGCUCUAUGCAACUUUAUAUAUUCUAAAUUUCCAAGCCUUAGCACCCCUAAUAAUGAUGUGGAGCUUUUGUCAAACUAUUUCUUCUAUUAGAAGUUACAUGGAAUAUUCCAGUUAAGGUAAGAUCAUGUGGAAGAAGGUAACUAGAAACACACAAGCACACAAAUAAGCACACCCACAUAGAGAGAGCAAAAUAUAUACAUAUCCUACACAUGGGAAUGGUUUGUGGACAAAGCAAAAGAAAGC
Molecule: long non-coding RNA, 488 nt
Filed under: Lupinus angustifolius (narrow-leaved blue lupine)
Lineage: Eukaryota; Viridiplantae; Streptophyta; Magnoliopsida; Fabales; Fabaceae
Description: long non-coding RNA (LANG_LNC001204)
Source: RNAcentral